Long non-coding RNA from Neopsephotus bourkii (Bourke's parrot), 3645 nucleotides. RefSeq lists it as uncharacterized. The record is from RefSeq and is a predicted model, not a curated record. Lineage: Eukaryota; Metazoa; Chordata; Aves; Psittaciformes; Psittacidae. The transcript is spliced from 3 exons.
GGAGGCCCUCGGGUGGCAGCUGGGUUCUCACUGGCACUGUUCUCCCCACAGCGACCGGAGCCCGCUCCUACAGCUUUGCUGACCGCGAAGGAGUGGCGAUGAGGGGACUUGCUGCAAACGCGGCAGGUUUACCUAGUUCUCCUCGGCAGCAGCGUGAAACUGGUCAUUUUUACUAAUACAGGCAGCUCUGCAGAAUGCAAGAGGGGAAACAGCGCUACCGGUGAAAGACUGGUCAUUGAGAGUCACAGGGGAAGACCAGAAUGAAGGCAAAACACAAUAUAACUUUCCGCUGGAGGGGAUUAAGACAUUGUCUGCGUACAGAAAUCUGAAGAACUUCCACAGCAGGUACCAGAUCACUGACCGAAGCUCAGAAUCUCCCAACACAGUCAUGGUCUUGUCAUUUCUUAUAAAGAAACAGCAGAUACAUUUUAAGAAGCCCCAUUUAGUAAUGUCAGAAUGGUUGAAGGGAGUUUACAUAACUGAGAACUGAAGAGUAAAAAUAGAGGAAGUAUAACUGAACAGAGCAUUAUGACACUAGCAGUGUAGUAGCAACUCCCCUAGUUCUCCAUUCCCAGCAAUUCCUUAGCUUUUCAGAGAAAGAGCAUCAACCCAUGCCUGCACUGACUUAAAAUCCAUCUAUCUCAGUACCAGCCAGUACCAGACAUCCCAGGUAGCAGAUAAUCUAUUUAUGCAAUGGAAGCCAUCUCUACCUCUAAUGCAACCAUUUGGGCCUAUUAUCUGAAGUUCAGUGUUACUAGUUAUGAUAAUCCAAAAAGUCACUCAAGUCCUUCUUUGGAGAAAAAAAGUUUGCAUCCAAAUAGAAACAUUCUUGGCUCAGAAAUCUGAAGUGCCUAUGAGUGCAGCUGGCUUGAGGAGCAGCAGCUAGAUCCUGAGUUCGUUACCCUACAGUGUUGCUGAGGCGGGGGAUACAGCAGCCUUGGAAGAGCAAAGGGUCCUUUGUUACUGAGUUGGGUAGUUUCAUCAGAGAGAGACAAUUUUCAGCUGGAAAAACACUGUCCUAAAAAUCACUGGGAUCAAAGAAUGUGAAGGGAAGGGAGGAAGUAAGAUUCUCCUGUCCUUCCAUUACGUGAGAUUAGAGAAACAAAAUAAACCACCCCUUUGCUAACAUCCAAAAGCAAUGAGUGCAUGUUUUCAAGAAAAAGGAAAACCUGAUAAAAUAUGCUUGUACAGUGUCUGGAAAACAAAGCCCCAGCCUCUGAGGCUUUAAGGAGUCAUUACUUUAGAACACAUUAGUGUCGUAACUAGACCUGAAAUGGAUUUUAUACUGCUUGGAGAGUAAGGCACAGACUUGAAAUAGACAAGACCAUCAGUUGUGAGAUUCAAGGUGCUGUGCCUUCUUCAGGCUCUGGUAAUAGUGAAAAUUAAGUUAGUGUCUGAGGGCUGGCAUAGAAGAAAUCUGUCUCAGUAUCACACAUUUCAAGGCUUUAAGCGCACAGGAUCACUUCUAGCACCACCUGCCCACUGAGAAGUACAAAUGUAAGGGUCUGAAUACGAACACUUUGUGGUUUGAUACUGGCCUCUUGCCACUUCCUUAUGACUUCCUUGGUUUUAUUCUAGAGAAGGUUAACUCAAGACUCUUCCUAAUGCAGUGUUGAAUGGAUAUCUAACUGUGAGCCUGGUUUUUGUCUGAGCUUUGUUAAACACAUGCUGUAGGUCUCCAGAAUGCUGUCUCCUUCAUUUGGCCACAUAAUUAUAAAAUAAGCUACUGUGAGAACAUAUCCAAAAUAAAGCAGGGUAUCUUUCUCUGAAAGAAUAUACAACAGUUUGGCAUCAGCCCAGAACUGUAAGAGUUUCUGUUUUCGGCAGGUCUGUUUUUCUUACUUGGAAACAAUAGUGGUAUUCAUGACUGGGCAGCUCAUGAGGUUACCACUUCUGAAGCUGCAUUUCUCAAUAUGCAGCAAUCACUAUAAAAGAUGCAUCAUACUUCAGACCUUAGCACAUUCAGUGUUACCACAGUGAUUUCCCUUUUGCUGGGUCCUACGGAGUAAUUAAGAAAAUAAUUUGUUUUGAAGUGAAACAUUGCAUGUACAUAUGAAGCAGCUCAGUCCUGCACACAGACAUGUAGAACUGUGGGCCAAGGCUUUGUAGGUUGAAAUACAUAUACACAGUGAGGGCUAUUCUUUUGUUUCUGCCCUUCAAAUCUCUCUUUCUCCUUCCAGUCAGCUUCUUUCUAGCCAAUGUUAAUCUGCUGCACACAGAAAAUGAGCACAUUUACACAAUUACCUGUUUGCCAAACGUUGUUUUGUUCCUUUAGUUAUUCCACACAAGUGGUUUUCAGCUGACAAGUUGUCAGUUACGUCGUUUGCAAGUUGUCAGGCCUCCCAUGUUACAGCAUAUUUGCCCAGACCUAGAAAGAAAGACUAUGGCUUUUUCACAGACAAAGAUAAGCUACAAAAUUCAUUGCAAACCAAUUUCUUCUGCUCAAUAAAUAGUUGAACAAAAGGCAAGCCCCUGCAAAGCAAUGCAUGUUUGUCUUCUGUAAUAUAACACUAUGUCAGACACCACAGAAAGCUAUAGAAAGAAGGCAUGCUACAGCAGCUCUGAAAACAAAGAGAGAUGCUGACCAGCAAAACUCUUAGGAAACACCAAGAAAAAGGGUGCAGAAUUUAAAUGUCAGGCAAGAGAAGAACAAAGGUUUCAAUGAUGUCAUUAGCAAGAGAAUAAUCUAGUAAAAUGUAGAAACACUGUAGAAUAGGUAUAUAUAUCUGAUCAGUCUUUACAGUCAAAUGAGAAGAAAAAGGUGCAUUUAGGAUGCAUUUUUUAUUAAAUCCUGAAAUAGAUGUUUAAAAAUGGAUUAAAUGCACCAUGCUGAAGUGCCUUUUUCUCUAUGUUAAUUGCCAAGGAGGUGAGAGUGUUAAGUCCCUAGUGAGCCUCUUCUGAGGCUAUUAGGACAGGUAAUACAAAACAAAUCUGUUUUUUGUCUCAUGUUUCUGUAACAUCAUAGGAGACUAACGUAAAUAAAAUAGGCAGAUGAGGGAAAACUACAGAUAAGUCAAUGAUUGCUCCAGAUCUACAUGCUUUUCAGUAUGUGGUUUAUGAAUCAAAGGCAGGAACCCAACAGUUGUUCCCAUGAACUGGACCAGUGGUCUGACUGGGGCACUCUGCUGCUGUUCCUAGGAGCUGCAGAAAGUACAAGAAAUUCUACAGCAGAAAAUUAUGAGUAAACACAGCAGAUCUUCAAAUACCUCUGUCUUUUAGUUUCUGUCCAUUUUCACUUUUGUUUCAUUAAAUACAGGAUUUGAUAUAACUGCAGAGAAAUGAAACUGAAAUUUUCCCUUCCGGGUCAAGUGAUCAGAACCCAUGAGCUAGUUGUUUGUCUUUUUUUAAACAUACUGCUUGGAAGUGUGGUUUUUUAAGAAGAUAAUCAGGAAAAGGUCAUUGUUUUACUGGAAUAAUUACACAGAAUAAGCAAUGACAGUUGCAUAUUCUUAGUAGGACACUAAAAACUAUCUGUAGAUGUCCAAUUGGCCUGCCUGAACUCAUACAACACCAGCACAGAAGGCCCAGUCUUGGUAGCCAUAUGCAGUGGUCCUAAGAGAGCCUCUUCUCAGCAGGGAGCAUCUUCUCUGGGGUUGGGCUGCUCCUCCCUGUGGCUCACUGCUGUCUCCACUGCCAUCUCUGAGC